Molecule: small RNA, 948 nt
Filed under: Pan troglodytes (chimpanzee)
Lineage: Eukaryota; Metazoa; Chordata; Mammalia; Primates; Hominidae
Description: processed transcript
Source: RNAcentral
GCUGAUUCAUCCACUGAAGCCCUGGGCCGGGAGGCUUUCCUCUAAGAUCUGUGGGAACUGCGCAGGGCCCUCCUCAAUCUAGGCCUCAGAAUUUCCCCUGAGGUUUGGAGUUGAGCUAGACAGCCUUUAAGAGAAGCUGUGGCUGUAUUCCCACUGGUACCUCACUUUCCUCUUGUGAGGCAAGGAGGUCUUGUCUACAUGAGGGGCGGGCCUGAAGUUGGAUUCUGGAGGGGAGCCAAAUGGGGCCUCAGCUGUGUGGUGCGGCCCUGUUGGCAGUGGGCAUCUGGGUGUCAAUCGAUGGGGCAUCCUUUCUGAAGAUCUUCGGGCCACUGUCGUCCAGUGCCAUGCAGUUUGUCAACGUGGGCUACUUCCUCAUCGCAGCCGGCGUUGUGGUCUUUGCUCUUGGUUUCCUGGGCUGCUAUGGUGCUAAGACUGAGAGCAAGUGUGCCCUCAUGACGUUCUUCUUCAUCCUCCUCCUCAUCUUCAUUGCUGAGGUUGCAGCUGCUGUGGUCGCCUUGGUGUACACCACAAUGGCUGAGCACUUCCUGACGUUGCUGGUAGUGCCUGCCAUCAAGAAAGAUUAUGGUUCCCAGGAAGACUUCACUCAAGUGUGGAACACCACCAUGAAAGGGGUAAGGUUGGCUGGGGGAGGUUUUAGGGUGGAGAGAAAGAAGCAAGGCCCCACCUCCACCCUCAUCUUGUCUCCAGCUCAAGUGCUGUGGCUUCACCAACUAUACGGAUUUUGAGGACUCACCCUACUUCAAAGAGAACAGUGCCUUUCCCCCAUUCUGUUGCAAUGACAACGUCACCAACACAGCCAAUGAAACCUGCACCAAGCAAAAGGCUCACGACCAAAAAGUAGAGGGUUGCUUCAAUCAGCUUUUGUAUGACAUCCGAACUAAUGCAGUCACCGUGGGUGGUGUGGCAGCUGGAAUUGGGGGCCUCGAG